UACGUAGGAUGCAAGCGUUGUCCGGAAUUAUUGGGCGUAAAGAGCGCGCAGGCGGUUUGACAAGUCAGAUGUGAAAGAGGCCGGCUUAACCGGCAAGGGUCAUUUGAAACUGUCAGACUAGAGUACAGCAGAGGAUAGCGGAAUUCCCGGUGUAGCGGUGAAAUGCGCAGAUAUCGGGAAGAACACCCGUGGCGAAGGCGGCUCUCUGGGACGGUACUGACGCUGAGACGCGAAAGCGUGGGGAGCGAACAGG
This 253-nucleotide ribosomal RNA is filed under the name uncultured bacterium. RNAcentral's name for it is "partial 16S ribosomal RNA". It matches the Rfam family "Bacterial small subunit ribosomal RNA", at positions 524 to 776 of the family's 1533-position model. The record is from RNAcentral.